UACAGAGGGUGCAAGCGUUGUUCGGAAUUAUUGGGCGUAAAGCGCGUGUAGGCGGCUUUGCAAGUCGGGUGUGAAAGCCCUCGGCUUAACCGAGGAAGUGCGCCCGAAACUGCAGAGCUUGAGUACCGGAGAGGAUGGCGGAAUUCCCCAAGUAGAGGUGAAAUUCGUAGAGAUGCGGCGGAACACCGAUGGCGAAGGCAGCCCCCUGGGCUGAGAUUGACGCUCAGGCACGAAAGCGUGGGGAGCAAACAGG
RNAcentral lists this ribosomal RNA (253 nucleotides) under uncultured bacterium. Its description in RNAcentral is "partial 16S ribosomal RNA". It matches the Rfam family "Bacterial small subunit ribosomal RNA", at positions 524 to 776 of the family's 1533-position model. The record is from RNAcentral.